AUUGAACGCUGGCGGCAGGCUUAACACAUGCAAGUCGAGCGGGGUGAUGGUGCUUGCACUAUCACUUAGCGGCGGACGGGUGAGUAAUGCUUAGGAAUCUGCCUAUUAGUGGGGGACAAUAUCUCGAAAGGGAUGCUAAUACCGCAUACGUCCUACGGGAGAAAGCAGGGGAUCACUUGUGACCUUGCGCUAAUAGAUGAGCCUAAGUCGGAUUAGCUAGUUGGUGGGGUAAAGGCCUACCAAGGCGACGAUCUGUAGCGGGUCUGAGAGGAUGAUCCGGCACAAUGGGACUGAGACACGGCCCAGACUCCUACGGGAGGCAGCAGUGGGGAAUAUUGGACAAUGGGGGGAACCCUGAUCCAGCCAUGCCGCGUGUGUGAAGAAGGCCUUAUGGUUGUAAAGCACUUUAAGCGAGGAGGAGGCUCUUUUGGUUAAUACCCAAGAUGAGUGGACGUUACUCGCAGAAUAAGCACCGGCUAACUCUGUGCCAGCCGCCGAGUAA
This 502-nucleotide ribosomal RNA is filed under the name uncultured bacterium. Its description in RNAcentral is "partial 16S ribosomal RNA". It matches the Rfam family "Bacterial small subunit ribosomal RNA", at positions 30 to 523 of the family's 1533-position model. The record is from RNAcentral.